AGUCAGCAUUGGUGGUUU
Molecule: microRNA, 18 nt
Filed under: Schmidtea mediterranea
Lineage: Eukaryota; Metazoa; Platyhelminthes; Tricladida; Dugesiidae
Description: sme-miR-752-3p
Gene: sme-miR-752-3p
Source: miRBase by way of RNAcentral